RNAcentral lists this ribosomal RNA (252 nucleotides) under uncultured Bacteroidales bacterium. Its description in RNAcentral is "partial 16S ribosomal RNA". It matches the Rfam family "Bacterial small subunit ribosomal RNA", at positions 524 to 776 of the family's 1533-position model. The record is from RNAcentral. Lineage: Bacteria; Pseudomonadati; Bacteroidota; Bacteroidia; Bacteroidales.
UACGGAGGAUGCGAGCGUUAUCCGGAUUUAUUGGGUUUAAAGGGUGCGUAGGCGGACUGUUAAGUCAGCGGUAAAAGCCCGGGGCUCAACCCCGGCGAGCCGUUGAAACUGGCUGUCUUGAGAUGUCGAGAGGUAUGCGGAAUGCGCAGUGUAGCGGUGAAAUGCGUAGAUAUUAGGAGGAACACCAGUGGCGAAGGCGGCUUACUGGACGAUGACUGACGCUGAGGCUCGAAAGCGUGGGGAGCAAACAGG